CCUACGGGAGGCUGCAGUGGGGGAUAUUGGACAAUGGGGGGAACCCUGAUCCAGCGACGCCGCGUGAGUGAAGAAGUAUUUCGGUAUGUAAAGCUCUGUCAGCAGGGAAGAAAGAAAUGACGGUACCUGACCAAGAAGCCCCGGCUAACUACGUGCCAGCAGCCGCGGUAAUACGUAGGGGGCAAGCGUUAUCCGGAAUUACUGGGUGUAAAGGGGGCGUAGACGGUUAAGUAAGUCUGGAGUGAAAGGCCGGGGCCCAACCCCGGGACUGCUCUGGAAACUAUUGAACUUGAGUGCAGGAGAGGUAAGCGGAAUUCCCAGGGUAGCGGUGAAAUGCGUAGAUAUUAGGAGGAACACCAGUGGCGAAGGCGGCUUACUGGACUGUAACUGACGUUGAGGCUCGAAAGCGUGGGGAGCAAACAGGAUUAGAUACCCCGGUAGUC
Molecule: ribosomal RNA, 443 nt
Filed under: uncultured bacterium
Lineage: Bacteria
Description: partial 16S ribosomal RNA
Rfam family: Bacterial small subunit ribosomal RNA
Source: RNAcentral